Molecule: transfer RNA, 69 nt
Filed under: Sphaerodactylus townsendi
Lineage: Eukaryota; Metazoa; Chordata; Lepidosauria; Squamata; Sphaerodactylidae
Description: tRNA-Ala
Rfam family: tRNA
About the family: Transfer RNA (tRNA) molecules are approximately 80 nucleotides in length.
Source: RNAcentral
GCUGUGGCUCUGUGGUAGUAUGGGUGCUUUGCAUGCACAAGGUCCCAGGUUCAAUUCCUGGCAUAUCCA